This 450-nucleotide ribosomal RNA is filed under the name uncultured Allobrachymonas sp. RNAcentral describes it as "bacterial SSU rRNA". It matches the Rfam family "Bacterial small subunit ribosomal RNA", at positions 927 to 1382 of the family's 1533-position model. The record is from RNAcentral. Lineage: Bacteria; Pseudomonadati; Pseudomonadota; Betaproteobacteria; Burkholderiales; Comamonadaceae.
AAGCGGUGGAUGAUGUGGUUUAAUUCGAUGCAACGCGAAAACCUUACCCACCUUUGACAUGGCAGGAAUCCUGAAGAGAUUUGGGAGUGCUCGAAAGAGAACCUGCACACAGGUGCUGCAUGGCUGUCGUCAGCUCGUGUCGUGAGAUGUUGGGUUAAGUCCCGCAACGAGCGCAACCCUUGCCAUUAGUUGCUACGAAAGGGCACUCUAAUGGGACUGCCGGUGACAAACCGGAGGAAGGUGGGGAUGACGUCAAGUCCUCAUGGCCCUUAUAGGUGGGGCUACACACGUCAUACAAUGGCCGGUACAGAGGGUAGCCAACCCGCGAGGGGGAGCCAAUCCCACAAAGCCGGUCGUAGUCCGGAUCGCAGUCUGCAACUCGACUGCGUGAAGUCGGAAUCGCUAGUAAUCGUGAAUCAGAAUGUCACGGUGAAUACGUUCCCGGGCCUU